This 973-nucleotide long non-coding RNA is filed under the name Androctonus crassicauda. Lineage: Eukaryota; Metazoa; Arthropoda; Arachnida; Scorpiones; Buthidae. The record is from RNAcentral.
CUAUUUUGUUUUUACAGCUAUGAAAAGGGCAGCUAAGGAACAUGAACAUUUAUAUGAAAGUGAUCUUUAAUAUAAAUGAUAUAUCACAUUCGAAUUUCAGACGUCUUUUUAGGUUUGAAAAAACAGAUAUUUUACAAUUAUGUAAUGCUCUUCUAUUGUCCACGAGAUUCGAAACUGUUGAUAGACACAUCAUUUCAAGUAAUUAUUUAUUUAUUUCUCUAUUUAAAUUUAAAAUGUAGAUAUUAUUUACAUGAAGAUUACCAAAUGUCCAUAUAUAUAGUUUGCACUUUGACCUUUCGCCCUGUUCUUUCUAUUUCGAUUAAAAACAUUCAAUUUUAUAUAUGGAAAAUAUGUUAAAAUAAAGAAAUUCGUAAUUAACUUUUAAUUUUUUUUGUUUAUUUACUUGUUCUUUAUCAAAGGAAAUUGUCUUAUUUUACUGAUGCUUGAAGUCUUUCAGAUUCGGAAAAUCUAAACUGAGACUUCUUCACAACUGCCAUAUUUUCAAGGAGAUCAUGUGACGUGCUGAACAAUUCUUAUUGGAAUUCUUCCAAUAAGAAUUCCAAUAAGAAUUCCAAUUCUUUCUUUAUAAGGGAGCGAUUACUUUGAUUGCCUAAACAUAAGAGAAGCUUCCCAUUAUAAGUAACCUUAAAAUGGGAAACUUCCCUUAUGUUUAGGACAUUAUGGGGAGCUGUAAGGUCAUAACAGUUUUUUAUAAUGGAAAAUACUUUUGCGCAAACUUGCUAUUCUGUCAUUUUUACUUUUUCCAGUAUUGAUGCAUUAAGUAACAUUUAAUUUUACCCAUAGCAUAUUUAACUUAAGAGUAUUUUUUACAUGAAUUAUCACCUUUUAUAUCAUAUUUAGGAAAUCAGUUUUUACAUUUACAUCAUUAAUGUUAUUAUUUAUUGUUUUGUUUAGUUUUAUCAGUUAAACAUUACUUAAAAGAGUAAUGUUUUUAAGUAUUAUUAUUAUUAUU